RNAcentral lists this ribosomal RNA (253 nucleotides) under uncultured bacterium. RNAcentral's name for it is "partial 16S ribosomal RNA". It matches the Rfam family "Bacterial small subunit ribosomal RNA", at positions 524 to 776 of the family's 1533-position model. The record is from RNAcentral.
UACGGAGGGUGCAAACGUUGCUCGGAAUCAUUGGGCGUAAAGCGCACGUAGGUGGCUUGUUAAGUCGGGUGUGAAAUCCCUGGGCUCAACCCAGGAAGUGCACUCGAAACUGGCGAGCUUGAGUACUGAAGAGGGUCGCGGAAUUCCCGGUGUAGAGGCGAAAUUCGUAGAUAUCGGGAGGAACACCAGUGGCGAAGGCGACGAUCUGGGCCGCAACUGACGCUGAGGCGCGAAGGCUAGGGGAGCAAACAGG